UCUGGGCUACUGCAGGAGGUGCUCUGGGGUGGACGGACUGCUGUAUGAAGAGGACUGCUCAGCUGUAUGGAGAUGGUGGUCAAGUCAAAGGUGGAAUAUUAGACAGUGCUGGAGGAUGACAGCCAAGGAAGAGAUUCCUGGGUACUCAUUGCUUUCUGACCUGACACUUCAAUGCACUGCUUGCCCAGAGACAGCGUAAGAGCUCAGCCUCUCAUCCCAAAGGAUCCUGAAGAGUAAUUGUAAUAACCUGGCAUACAAAAUAUACGCAGAAAUCAAUUUGCCCACCAUUGAAACGUAGCCACAACUGGAGGGGUUGCGAGCAAGCGACUGCUUAGCAGAAAACUGUGCGAGGCUGCAGUGCUGUUCCCGUUUGAGUGACGGGGCGAGGUAAUUACCUGAGCUGGCUGUUGGCCAGAAGAGCGGGGUUUGCCCAUAGGGCUGCACAGCAGCGUGCUGAGAAGAGGAGAUGCCACCGUGAGCGCUCAGGACCUUGGGCAUUUGGAUUGCCCAGUGACCACCAGCAGCUGAGCACUCAUCCAGCAGGGAGACGGUGCUGGCGAAGCCCCUGCCAGCCCAGCGCCGCAUCCAGCCUGCUCGGGACGGUCUCACUUUAUGGGGAGCUUGGACGAGGCUGAAGCACAUCUGAAACAAGCGCUCGUGUUCUCCUGCCUCGGAGGGAGAGCGGGGCUUGCUGUAACUUCGCAGUCCCACGUAGCAUGAACUCUGCUGGUUUUAACCUCGGGGACUGCAAAGCGCCAGACUUUCCUUGACCAUUCGCAGCUCGAGAAAGCUGGCAUUCAAUAAGCCGAGCAGGUGGAGGAGAGCGGGGAAGAGGUUUUGCAUCCAUUGGUUGCCAGUCAUGAAAAGAGAAAUUGUUGUAUUGUCAGGAUGCCAUUGUCUGUCCGAGAUGACGUCAUUCAUGUGCUGACAGGUCUCAUUCAUUCACUUGCACCACUUCAGAUACGACAAACAAACCAGGCACACAUCUCCUACAUGAGUGUCCCAGAAAAUAAAUUAACUCUUUCAGUCCCAGGGCCAAAAAAAAAAAAAGAAAAAAAAAAAACCAAAAAAACACAAAACGCACGCCUUUUGGUGCAGAAUUCAAAAUUCCUCCACCACUUACCAUGUGCUAGCUUUUCCCACAUGCCAGAAAUAGCCAACACCAGGGAAAAUAGAGAAGACUCAUUCUGAGGAACUGAGCCCACAGCAACAGUCCAGUGUAAUGGUGAAGACAGCCCAAAGGUAUGCAGAAGCACAGCAGCAGUGAGCCUUAGGGUCAGUCUCAGAGAUGAAGAGGUAGGAGCUGCCUUUACCUGGCCUCCAAAUAAACCUUGGAAGGAGUAUGGGGAGGGCUCCUGUUAGUACCAUUAAGAGCUUGAGACCUAGUCCUAGCCCAGAUGUUAGCUUGCUAAAACACUAUUCUGACGAGAUAGUCAGGAGUUUUAGCCUUCACAGAGAAACAACAGUCAGGAUGAGAUGGUAUAUCACCAAAUAAGCUACUUUAUUCAGCCCUGAAAACAUAGGAUCAGCCUUGAAGAGACUUUUAAAGAUUGAAAUAAGAGGAAGAUACAGUUUCAAUUUAGUCUCUCUCUUUCUCUCUUUCUCUUGCUGUGAUUAAAAUAUGUGACUGAUCUUGGAAGCUCUAAAGCAGCUUGUACAAAAACCAUACUAACAGCUUUCACAGUAAUGGAACUUUUAGUCAAAGUUGGGCUGUCUGGUUUCUUUUGCUUUCCCAUGAAUCUUCCUCAUGCCUUUUUUUUUUCCCCAUUCUGUUCCAUAUAGAUUUUGGUCUUUCCUUUAUUAAAAAGAAAUGGCUCUCCCCACUGAGUCACUUAUCUAAUAAUAGCUAGAACCUUUCAACACAAAUGAUUUGAUUCCUUUUUUUUUUUUUCUUUUUCCCCCUUAAGUAAACAUACGGUUAGGGUAUUACUCGGAGAGUGGCAAUAGAAAUACCAUAGUCAAAUUAUCAUGUGACUCAAUUUUGCAAAGUGCACUGAAUCUUUUUUUUUAAUGCAUUUCACAAGUAUUUGGUGGUAACCUCUAACACCACAGUGGUUUCUCUUUUACAGUAGCUCAAUUUUGCAACUCUGAAUACCGUGGGCUUUUUUUGGUUUUUUUUUUUUUUUUUGAAGGGAAGCUACCCAAAGGCUUCUAUAAAACAUUCUUGAGCCUUUGGGAAUGAGCCAAUUUAAUUUAAGGGUAUCAUUCCCUUUCAAAGAGCUGAAGGAUUUGAAGAAACGCAGUCUGCUUUCUGAACAGUGUGAGAUGAAUAUAGUUGUGGUCUCAUUAGAAAGCAAGCUACAGAGUUUAGAUACAGAUCUAAAGUUUUUCAGAGUUCAGCAGGGGCCAGAUCCAGGCUCUCCAUUUGUCAGCUGUAUUUUCCUGCAGCAUUCAUUUUGCGACAGCCCCUCGCACUGAGUCUGCUCCGGAGCAUGUGAACAUGUGCAUCAGGAGGAGCUGGCAAAGGACAUAGCUGGCAGCCAAAGUUUCUGUCAGUCACUGGCCUUAAAAUAGCAGGAGAGGUCCCUCAGGAGAGUCAGGAAUCACUGACAGAAAUUGUUAGCUCUUAUUUUCAGCUGUUACAUCACUGCAUUUGAGAAAACAUUGGAGAAAGGACUGAUGUUGCUCUAAGCUAACAUUACGCCCCUGAACCAUGCUCACCAUGAGGCAGUCAGGCCCUGCCUGCUCUUUUUGCAAGGUCAGAGGACAGUCCUGAGAUGUGCGCUGCUCCACAAGGCCUCGCAGAGAAUGACUUUUGCAACCAUCACAUUUCUUUUCUGUUACUCCUAUUGCAAUGUUUCAUUUCCAUACGGUCGCUGAUAGGAAUAGUGCUAAAUACUCAUGCCAUCAUGGUGGAGGCUGGAGGAAAGUAUUUUUGCCUGGUUUAUGUGAAAACACUGGGGAAAAGAAAAAUAGGCUUCUAUGUAAUAGAGUAAUGAGCCCAGCAGUUCUGGGCAGACAGCAUGAUCCAUGCUCUGUUUGCUUUGAAGAUCAGUUUGCUUUUAAGUGCUAAUUUUAUAUUUUCUAUUGAAAAAUAGAGAGGAGUACAGGGAAUAAACUCCCAGUGAUCCAAGGGGCAAAUACAAAGUUCUGAAAAUGCCUCCUGAAAGCUACAGUCAUCUCAGUCCUCGUGCAAAUGAGCAUCCACACUCAGCAGUUGCAGGCAUACAAACAUCUCCAUCCGUCACCUCACAGCACAGUCAGACCAAAAAAAAACCUGCCAGAGCCACCGAGACGCUCGGUCACAUCUAGCUUUAUUUUAUCCCAUCAGAAAAGUUCAAGAAUUACACCAAAAAUACUUCAGUCUCUGCUACCUACUGACAAAAAAUACACCACAAAAUUAUAAACUG
Long non-coding RNA from Dromaius novaehollandiae (emu), 3350 nucleotides. RefSeq lists it as uncharacterized. The record is from RefSeq and is a predicted model, not a curated record. Lineage: Eukaryota; Metazoa; Chordata; Aves; Casuariiformes; Dromaiidae. The transcript is spliced from 4 exons.